UUUCCGUAGGUGAACCUGCGGAAGGAUCAUUCAUAAUAAAGUGUUUUAUGGCACUUUUUUAAAUCCAUAUCCACCUUGUGUGCAAUGUCAGGGUUGGUCUCUUUUGAUCAGCCCCAAACAUCAACUAUUAUCUCAACUCUUUGUCUGGAAAAUAUUAUGAAUAAAACAAUUCAAAAUACAACUUUCAACAACGGAUCUCUUGGCUCUC
This 208-nucleotide unclassified non-coding RNA is filed under the name plant metagenome. RNAcentral's name for it is "partial contains small subunit ribosomal RNA, internal transcribed spacer 1, and 5.8S ribosomal RNA". The record is from RNAcentral.